Molecule: non-coding RNA, 73 nt
Organism: Potamilus streckersoni
Lineage: Eukaryota; Metazoa; Mollusca; Bivalvia; Unionida; Unionidae
Source: the annotation of a GenBank genome assembly
GCUCUGGUAGCCUAGUGGUUAGAGCGUUCACCUCAGAUGUGGGAGAUCGUGUGUUCAAAACAAACCCAAGCCA